CCUACGGGGGGCAGCAGUAGGGAAUAUUGCUCAAUGGGGGAAACCCUGAAGCAGCAACGCCGCGUGGAGGAUGAAGGUUUUCGGAUUGUAAACUCCUUUUGUUAGAGAAGAUAAUGACGGUAUCUAACGAAUAAGCACCGGCUAACUCCGUGCCAGCAGCCGCGGUAAUACGGGGGGUGCAAGCGUUACUCGGAAUCACUGGGCGGAAAGAGCGCGUAGGCGGGAUAGCAAAGCAGAUGUGAAAUCCUAUGGCUUAACCAUAGAACUGCAUUUGAAACUGUUAUUCUAGAGUAUGGGAGAGGUAGGUGGAAUUCUUGGUGUAGGGGUAAAAUCCGUAGAGAUCAAGAGGAAUACUCAUUGCGAAGGCGACCUGCUAGAACAUAACUGACGCUGAUGCGCGAAAGCGUGGGGAGCAAACAGGAUUAGAUACCCUAGUAGUC
Molecule: ribosomal RNA, 440 nt
Filed under: uncultured bacterium
Lineage: Bacteria
Description: partial 16S ribosomal RNA
Rfam family: Bacterial small subunit ribosomal RNA
Source: RNAcentral